Molecule: ribosomal RNA, 403 nt
Filed under: uncultured bacterium
Lineage: Bacteria
Description: partial 16S ribosomal RNA
Rfam family: Bacterial small subunit ribosomal RNA
Source: RNAcentral
AUUGAACGCUGGCGGCAGGCCUAACACAUGCACGUCGAGCGAGCGGCGGACGGGUGAGUAAUGUAUGGGGACUGCCCGAUAGAGGGGGAUAACUACUGGAAACGGUAGCUAAUACCGCAUACUAUCGGAUAACCCAUAUGGGAUUAGCUAGUAGGUGAGGUAAUGGCUCACCUAGGCGACGAUCCCUAGCUGGUCUGAGAGGAUGAUCCGCCAAACUGGGACUGAGACAAGGACCAGACUCCAAGGGAGGCAGCAGUGGGGAAUAUGGCACAAUGGGCGCAAGCCGGAUGCAGCCAUGCCGCGUGUAUGAAGAAGGCCCUAGGGUUGUAAAGUACUUUCAGUCGGGAGGCGUUACCGACAGAAGAAGCAACGGCUAACUCCGUGCCAGCCGCCGCGGUAAUUC